CGUACACUCCUGCGGGAGGCAGCAGUGGGGAAUAUUGGACAAUGGGCGCAAGCCUGAUCCAGCCAUGCCGCGUGAGUGAUGAAGGCCCUAGGGUUGUAAAGCUCUUUCACCGGUGAAGAUAAUGACGGUAACCGGAGAAGAAGCCCCGGCUAACUUCGUGCCAGCAGCCGCGGUAAUACGAAGGGGGCUAGCGUUGUUCGGAUUUACUGGGCGUAAAGCGCACGUAGGCGGACUAUUAAGUCAGGGGUGAAAUCCCGGGGCUCAACCCCGGAACUGCCUUUGAUACUGGUAGUCUUGAGUUCGAGAGAGGUGAGUGGAAUUCCGAGUGUAGAGGGGAAAUUCGUGGAUAUUCGGAGGAACACCAGUGGCGAAGGCGGCUCACUGGCUCGAUACUGACGCUGAGGUGCGAAAGCGUGGGGAGCAAACAGGAUUAGAUACCCUUGUAGUCCC
This 450-nucleotide ribosomal RNA is filed under the name uncultured organism. Its description in RNAcentral is "partial 16S ribosomal RNA". It matches the Rfam family "Bacterial small subunit ribosomal RNA", at positions 330 to 797 of the family's 1533-position model. The record is from RNAcentral.